RNAcentral lists this non-coding RNA (28 nucleotides) under Bombyx mori (domestic silkworm). The record is from RNAcentral. Lineage: Eukaryota; Metazoa; Arthropoda; Insecta; Lepidoptera; Bombycidae.
UCCUCCACAUCGACUUGCUUUGAAGAUC